RNAcentral lists this long non-coding RNA (908 nucleotides) under Mus musculus (house mouse). RNAcentral's name for it is "small nucleolar RNA host gene 5". Lineage: Eukaryota; Metazoa; Chordata; Mammalia; Rodentia; Muridae. The record is from RNAcentral.
CUUUUACGACGGAGCCUAAGAUAUUCUUUGUCUUGUCGGUGAGUGAGUUACAGUCGGAUGACCAAGUGAAAUAUAGGGGUGCAACGAGGAUUUGGAGGCUUCUGAGACUUGAACUUAGGGUACUGGUGUAAACUUCCUCGGAGAAGUGCGCAGCAGCUAAUGAUAUUUCGGGAUUGGAGUCUGGGCCCCAGUGAGAUUCGUACUAAGCGGCCUGACUGAAGGCCGCAUGCGUUCUAGUUCCUGAGUCCCCGCGUGGGACAAUGGCGCCAUUGUUCUUCGCGUCUUCAAAGCAGCUACAAGAAGAAACCAAGAUGGAGGGGAGCCCAAAGCAUCUGAGAGAAUUGAUAAAUGAAAGAAACAUGCUUAAAACAUGACCGUUUUAAAGGUGAAUGCUGACCAGUGAGAUGCCAGCCUGCGUGUGAAGAUCCUACAGCAGAAGUGCAUGGCCAGUGACACAAGAACUUGCGAGAGAUGCCAGUCCGCCUGUGAAGAUCCUGCAGCAGGAGUGCAUAGCCAGUGACACAAGACGUGCGAAUGAAAACUAGAUGUGACCAUCCAGAAAAAGCAUAGACAAAAAAAUGCAGUCUUAGUACUGGGAUGUUUGAGAUGGGGUCUAUCUACAUGUCUCUAGCUGUCCCUAUCAGGACAGCAUCUGGUGUGGCCUGCAGAGUUGAUUCCUGUACUUUUUUUUUUUUGUGGGCUGUAUGUAAAUGGAUUGUUUUGACAAUCCAUUCGACAGUGUUCUCUUCUGUGAAGGUCAUAGGUGAGCUGAUUGACAGACACAGCUGUACAGACUGAAUGCAAUCCUGACUAUAAAGCUGCAGUUCAUCAUUAUGAGCUAUUUCCUUAUUCUGGCAGUGAUUGAAAUAAAAUGGGGAGUAUUGAAAUAAAAAACAUUCAAUUGCAAA